UAGCGGAUCUACUUGACCCGGUUUUUGUUUGAUGGAUCCAAUAUAUUCGUAUUAUCACAGUUUACAACCACAAUUUCAUCCGCCGCUCCACAUUUCUUUCACUUUCUAAACCCUAGAUCCUCCACCGCAUAACUGAAGCACCUCCACCGCAUAACUGAAGCACCUCCACCGCACCUCCACCGCACCUCCACCGCACCUCCACCGCUCAUCCAUGGAACCUGUCUUUGCCAUCACCGUCUUCUCCCCUUUCAUCCAUGGAACAGGUCAUGUUUUUAACCCUAUUUUGUACGUUUUUUUUUAAUCUUUGUCAGAUCUGUGAUAAUACUUUUAGAUCUGUUUUAAUACUUUUAGAUUUGUGAUAAUACUUUUAGAUCUGUGAUAAUACUUUUAGAUCUGUGAUAAUACUUUUAGAUCUGUGUUGGUUUUGUGAUUAUUUUAAUGUUCUGUGAAUGGAUCAACAUUAGGGCUUUUUGUUUGAUAAUUAGGGCUUUGUCAGAUCUGUGAAUGGACCAAUUUUAAUUUCUUGCAUUAGGGCUUUGUCAGAUCUGUGAUAAUACUUUUAGAUCUGUUUUAAUACUUUUAGAUCUGUGAUAAUACUUUUAGAUCUGUGAAUCUGUGAUAAUUCUUUUAGAUCUAUGAUAAUACUUUUAGAUGUGUGAUAAUACUUUUAGAUCUGUGUUGGUUUUGUGAUUAUUUUAAUGUUCUGUGAGAUUUAUAGAGAAAACGUAAUUUCUGUUUCAUAAUUAGGGCUUUUUGUUUGAUCUAAUCGGUUACUGAAUUAUGGUUUUGUUUGUAAGGAGAAUCCGAUUGCAAGCUCACCGGCGAAGGAAGCAUACAGGAAUCGGCUGGCGGACAGCCUCAACAUGGGAGUUAUGGAUUGGUUUGAUCCAAUUGCUGAUUCGACUACUAGCCAUCUCGAUCUGAUUCCCCACAUGGUUUAGGGGAGAAGUUUAAAACAACAGGACUAUGGAAGGAUAUACGGUGCUACAUUGACAGUCAAGU
Molecule: long non-coding RNA, 1002 nt
Organism: Helianthus annuus (common sunflower)
Lineage: Eukaryota; Viridiplantae; Streptophyta; Magnoliopsida; Asterales; Asteraceae
Exons: 3
Source: RefSeq, a predicted model, not a curated record